This 15267-nucleotide long non-coding RNA is filed under the name Brassica napus (rape). RNAcentral's name for it is "long non-coding RNA (BNAP_LNC020065)". The record is from RNAcentral. Lineage: Eukaryota; Viridiplantae; Streptophyta; Magnoliopsida; Brassicales; Brassicaceae.
GAGUCAUAGAGAUCCUUGGUUGCAUGGCUGUGGUUGGAUCCUCCGACCUUGAUAGCUUCCUCAUCAAGGAGGCAUUUAACCCCACAAGACGGUUUCCAGUGGAACUUGACGUAGUGAGCUUUUCCGGCUUUGUUGAUAAGCAUGUAGGUGUUGACACCAAAGCCAUCCAUGUGCCUGUAGUCCUGUGGGAUACCGAGAUCGUCAAAGAGGAACGAAAACAUGUGAAGACUCUCAGGGUGGUGUGAGAAGAAGUCCAGUAUCCUCCAGUUCUCCUGAAUGUGGGAUUUGGGGUUCGGUUUCAAGGCGUGGACCAUGUCAGGGAACUUCAUCCCGUCGCGGACGAAGAAGACAGGGAAGUUGUUGCCAACAAGAUCAAAGUUCCCCUGAGUUUGCAAAACAGACUCAUUAAAAGACAAGGAUGUUGAUGAUGGCAUGAAAGAGAGAGAGAGAGAGAGAGAGAGUGGGGAAAAGCUAAACCUCUCUGGUGUAGAACUUGACAGCAAAACCACGAGGAUCUCUGAGAGUCUCGGGGCUGCCGCGCUCGUGGAUCACAGUAGAGAAACGAACAAUGACAGGAGUCUGGACGCCAGGUCCUCGGAGAAAAUCAGCACAGGUAAGGUGGGUAAUGUCAUGGGUGACUUCAAAGAAACCUUUAGCACUAGCACCUCUGGCAUGAACAACUCUUUCAGGAAUCCGCUCCCUGUCAAAGUUGGCUAAUUUCUCAAGCAGAUGAUAGUCUUCCAGAAGAAUAGGGCCUGGCAAGUUACAAAAAUUAUAGCUUUCACAAGAAAGCUGAUUCACAAAAGUCCAAAAAAUGAAUGGAGACAUUCUCAUUUAAAUGUUUACUGCAAGAGAUAAGAAAGACGCACCUCUGGUUCCAGCAGUCAAAGAGGAGUUGUUGUUCCAGACAGGAGCACCCGAGUUUGUCGUGAAGAAGGGCGAAUCAUGAGCGCUUGAAGGACGAACCUGCACCCCCAAACGAUUGAUGAUAACAUGACAGAAUAAUAAACAAAUCAAGAGGGUCCAGAAGCAUCCGAGGCCGAAACCCUAGACAUUGCCGCGGCCGAUCCUGAAACCCUAGAGAUGGCCGUGACCGAACCUAAGGCCUUAGACAGGGCCGAGGAACCUAAUGUGCCUAAUACUGAUGCUUGGGACGCUAAGCUUCAUGGUACUGAUGGUCCUGAUAAUAAUGAGAUCUCAAUAAAUUAUGUCUUGUCUGGGAUACAAUAGAACAGAAAGAAUGUCGACAUUGUUGAUAUAUUUGCAUAUAAGGUAGCACUUGAACUUAUGGAUUUAAACGAGGAUCAUGAACCCACGUCUAUUUAUGAGUGCACUCAACGAUCAGAUUGGAUCAAAUGGAAAGAAGCUAUAAACGUGGAGUUAAAUUCUUUAAAGAAAAGAGGUGUCUUCGGUCCUAUAAUCCGGACACCCUAUGAUGUCAAACCAGUUGGAUACAAAUUGGUCUUUGUGAGGAAAAGAAACGAACAUGGUGAAGUAGUGAGAUAUAAAGCAUGGCUUGUUGCACAAGGAUUCUCACAGAGACCAGAAAUAGACUAUGAGGAGACAUACUCCCCUGUGGUGGAUGCUACUACUUUUAGAUUCCUGAUAAGUCUGGCUAUAAGAGAAAACUUAGACUUGCGGUUAAUGGAUGUAGUAACUGCAUACUUAUAUGGUUCACUGGAUAAUGAGAUAUAUAUGAAAGUACCAGAGGGGUAUUGAAUUGAAAAACAAAGCAAGUUCUCGAGAACAAUAUUGUAUAAAGUUGAACAAAUCACUUUAUGAAUUGAAACAAUCAGGUCGAAUGUGGUACAAUAGACUAAGUGAGUACCUAGUGAAAGAGGGCUAUAAGAAUGACCUCUAUGUUUUUUUAUAAAGAAAUUCGACAAUAAAGGAUUUGUGAUCAUAGCAGUGUAUGUUGAUGAUUUGAAUAUCCUAGGAACCUCUGGAGAGAUUUCCCAAACAGUUGAAUAUCUUAAGAAAGAAUUUGAGAUGAAAGAUCUUGGAAAAACAAAGUUCUGUUUGGGAUUACAGCUUGUGUACAUUAGAGAUGGAAUCCUUGUGCAUCAAAUGACAUAUACAGAGAAAGUACUCAAAAGAUUCAAUAUGGCCGAGUCUCACUCAUUGUCUAGCCCCAUGGUCGUGAGGUCUCUCGGACUGGACACAGAUCCGUUCGGCCCUAAGAAUGACGAUGAAGAUGUCCUUGGUCCCGAAGUGCCAUAUCUCAGUGCCAUUGGAGCUUUGAUGCAUCUGACUAGUCACACACGGCCAGACAUAUGCUUUGCAGUGAACCUACUAUCUAGGUUUAGCUCUUGUCCGACCUAAAGGCACUAGAAUGAGAUUAAACAUAUACUUCGUUACCUGCAAGGAACGAAAGACUUGUGUUUAUUUUAUACUAACCAAAACAAAGAAGGUUUAGUUGGUUUUGCUAAUGCAGGUUAUCUUUCGUAUCCACACAAUGCUCAAUCACAGACAUGCUAUGUGUUCACACAUGGUGGAACGGCCAUAUCAUGGCGUUCCAUGAAACAGACGAUCACGGCCACAUCUUCAAACCAUUCGGAGAUCUUAGCUAUUCAUGAAGCCAGCCGCGAGUGUGUUUGGUUGAGGUCCAUGACCCAACAUGUUCGAGUUGAUUGUGGGAUGUCCGAAGGUAAGGAUGCACCAACCGUGAUGUAUGAAGACAAUGCAGCAUGCAUUGUUCAGCUCAAGGACGGUUACAUCAAAGGAGAUAGGACGAAGCACAUCCCACCCAAGUUCUUCUUCACGUAUGAACUUCAGAAAGCCGGCGAGGUUCAAGUGGUCCAAAUGCGUUCCAGUGACAACUCAGCUGAUCUAUUUACCAAGUCACUUCCUACCUCGACGUUCAGGAAGCUCAUGUAUCAGAUAGGUAUACGUAGACUGAAAGACCUUCAGUGAUGUUCAUAACAGGGGGAAUAAUACGUGUUGUACUCUUUUUUCUCCACCAUGAUUUUGUCCCAUUGGGUUUUCCUGGUAAGAUUUUAAUGAGGCAAUAUCCAAAGCGUAUUACGAACUCUGUAUGGUUAUGACAUCCAAGGAAGAGUUUUAUAAAUCAUAUUGUGGAUGUUCAUAACCGGUCCGGUCCAUAACCGGUUCAUACCGUUAGAGAGAGAGAGACGGCUAGAGAGAGAGUUGGCCACAUUUGGUUUUUCUUUUUCUUUAUUGGUUUAUGAUUUGUACUAUUUUUUUUUCUAGUCUUUCAAUUAUUCUAUGACGGUGUAAUUCUCUAUAUAUAAAUGGUUCAUUAUGUUUAAAGAUUAAUAAGAAUAUAGAGAUUUUAUUCUCCAAGUUUCACGACAAAAAACCUUUUCUUUAAUCAUUGAUCGUGCGUCUGACAUUAGACCACAAUAAAAUUACAACUAUAAGCAGCUCACGUCAUAGAUGCAAAUCUGGAGGAAAUAAUAAGCACACUUAAAAUUUAAUCCAGAGCAAAAUAUAAUAACAAAUAAAUACCAUUUCGAGUAGAACUAGUUAUGGAUUAUAUAUAUCACGUUAUAAGCUUACAUAGCUUUUUAUUAUUUGCCUUAGAAAAUAUUCGUUGACAUUGUGAAUAGAAAGAUUACAACAUGUACUAGAAGUACCCUUCCUUAAACAUUUCAUUGUCACGGUUUAUUUAAAUGAACUAUUACCAAAGAGCUUACAUAGAAACCAAACCACAAUAAAAGAUCACUUAGUCUUUCGAGAUGAUACCAUUCAGUACUUAGGCCUCACGUUAAGACGGGAAGCUAGUUUCUGUCCCAGCGAUUUGUCUGCCUGAGUCCAGUAAGAUAUCCAAAUGCUGCGAAUCUCGUGCGUCACGCGAGGCUCCGCAAGUGCUUCAACAAAACGCUUCACGAAACGCUCUUGCCUUUUACCCGGAAAGAAAAAAAAACAAUUAGAAUUUUAUGAAAUGUGUGAAGCUUUGUGGAUUUUGCAAUGAGUUUUGUAGUGUCUACCUGUCUGCGUCCCAGGACCUGUAUCGUUCCCCUGGCUGCUGAAAGUUGUUCUCCUUCUCAAUCAUGCACUGUCGUAUACAGAAGAUAGUAUAAAAAACAUUUUAAUCUCACAAUGUUAAAAGGAUUUGUGUCAAGGCAUGGAGCGGAAUAUGACCUUCUCACGAUUUCCAGAGCAGAAAACAGGAGUUGUUGGGUAUUUGUCAGCAUGGCGAACCGGAUUCAACCUUGAAGGGAAGUAAUUAACCUGGAAAGCAACUCAACCGGUUCAUAUAAUCAAACUAUAAAAAAUAAGAUUGUGAAUAAGCGUUUGAAUGAGCUGAUUACCUCCUCAUCUCGGUGCAUGAAGUUCAUGAAACCUUCAUGGUGAUUGUUGUGGUGAGCACAUUUUGGAGCAUUAACCGGCAGCUGCAGAUAGUUUGGUCCAAGACGGUGUCUCUGACUAUCAGCGUAGGAGAAGAUCCUGGUCUGGAGCAGCUUAUCAUCUGAGUAAUGGACGCCAGGAACGACAAUAGCAGGGCAGAAAGCAAUCUGCUCAUUCUCGUUAAAGAAGUUGUCGAUGUUUUUGUUCAGCACCAAGCGGCCAACAGGCUGCAGAGGCAAGAUAUCUUCAGGCCAGAUCUUGGUGACAUCAAGAGGGUCGAAGUCAAACUUGUCUUCAUGAGCAGGAUCCAUCACUUGAACGAAGAGAUUCCACUCUGGAUAGUUCCCAGAAGCGAUUGAGUCAUAGAGAUCCUUGGUUGCAUGGCUGUGGUUGGAUCCUCCGACCUUGAUAGCUUCCUCAUCAAGGAGGCAUUUAACCCCACAAGACGGUUUCCAGUGGAACUUGACGUAGUGAGCUUUUCCGGCUUUGUUGAUAAGCAUGUAGGUGUUGACACCAAAGCCAUCCAUGUGCCUGUAGUCCUGUGGGAUACCGAGAUCGUCAAAGAGGAACGAAAACAUGUGAAGACUCUCAGGGUGGUGUGAGAAGAAGUCCAGUAUCCUCCAGUUCUCCUGAAUGUGGGAUUUGGGGUUCGGUUUCAAGGCGUGGACCAUGUCAGGGAACUUCAUCCCGUCGCGGACGAAGAAGACAGGGAAGUUGUUGCCAACAAGAUCAAAGUUCCCCUGAGUUUGCAAAACAGACUCAUUAAAAGACAAGGAUGUUGAUGAUGGCAUGAAAGAGAGAGAGAGAGAGAGAGAGAGUGGGGAAAAGCUAAACCUCUCUGGUGUAGAACUUGACAGCAAAACCACGAGGAUCUCUGAGAGUCUCGGGGCUGCCGCGCUCGUGGAUCACAGUAGAGAAACGAACAAUGACAGGAGUCUGGACGCCAGGUCCUCGGAGAAAAUCAGCACAGGUAAGGUGGGUAAUGUCAUGGGUGACUUCAAAGAAACCUUUAGCACUAGCACCUCUGGCAUGAACAACUCUUUCAGGAAUCCGCUCCCUGUCAAAGUUGGCUAAUUUCUCAAGCAGAUGAUAGUCUUCCAGAAGAAUAGGGCCUGGCAAGUUACAAAAAUUAUAGCUUUCACAAGAAAGCUGAUUCACAAAAGUCCAAAAAAUGAAUGGAGACAUUCUCAUUUAAAUGUUUACUGCAAGAGAUAAGAAAGACGCACCUCUGGUUCCAGCAGUCAAAGAGGAGUUGUUGUUCCAGACAGGAGCACCCGAGUUUGUCGUGAAGAAGGGCGAAUCAUGAGCGCUUGAAGGACGAACCUGCACCCCCAAACGAUUGAUGAUAACAUGACAGAAUAAUAAACAAAUCAAGAGGGUCCAGAAGCAACAUGAACAUUAGGUAGCUACUACUUGAGCUCAAAAUCCAGUAAAUCGAUUAAAUAACGAACAAAACAACUCAAAAAAUCUGAGUUAGAAACCUUAAACAAUGAUUAUAUACAACGACAUCGAUAGAUUACGUCAACGUUUGGACUAGUUAUUCCUCGAAAACGUGCAUGUGGCUAAAUAAACAAUCAAUAAACAUAACCAUUCACAUAAUCCAGUCCUAAAUAUAUUUGAUCUUUUUAAUCUUAAACAAAAGCAAGUUUCUAGCAACUUCUAGAACCCUCACCAACAAUCAAACCCCCGAUCUAUGCGAAUUAUACAAAAAUCGAACAAUCAAACUAUUAGAUCAUUUAAUCACACGAAAUUGAUACGAAACGGACUCAGAUCCAGAAUCAACCGAAACAAAAUCUAAGAGAAAUCGAUCGGUGGUGUUACCCUGUAUGGAUCCAUGGAUGCAAAGACGAUUUCGAUUCGGAUUUUGCCUCCUUCACGGUUUCUUUUUAGGUGAGACUGGUUUUGUAUCUUUCUACGUAAUCGGCGUGUGUCUCACUGUUUUAUAGUGACCCCCAAGAUAAAUAUCUUAUUUUUAUCCCACCGCGUUAAAAUUGAGAUUACGUUACCAACUAAAAUAGUCGUAUGUUUUUUUUUUUUUUGGGGAGAUUAUCCAAAUGAUUACUUUCUCGAAUCAGUCCGCCACCUAAUUACCUGCUUACGUGUGCGGAUAAUAUCCUCUUACCCUUACUUGGAUUCUAUACUAUAACUAGACAAAUCUUGUUUUCAAAUUCAAGCUUAUCCCUUAGUAAAAUAAAUAGUACUAGUCGAAUUAUAAUACUGCAUUUAUUUUCAUUGAUUUUAUUUUAUUAUUAUGACAAACACAGAGUUUGACAAGUAAUAAGAUACCAAGGAAACAUUUGGUUUUAAAAGGAUUACAAACAUCAUUUUUUAUUAUACAGACACGAAACAGAAACAACAACAACAGCAUAAUCUUCUUGAGGAAUUUUAAGUGAUGAUGGAUCGUUGAGAGUAUCAUAUGAUUUGUACCUUUCCAAGGACAAGAGAUUGGUCUCUCUAGAUGCUUGGCCUUACGUUCAGACGGCUUGCAAGUUUCUGUCCCAGUGAUCGGUCAGCCUGAGACAUACAGAUUUUAUUAAGAAUGUCAGCUUUCACAAAAAUGGGAGAAAAUGCAAAGUAGGAAGCACUGAGUUUGUUUCUUUUUUUGUUCUGACCUGAGACCAGUAAGAGAUCCAGAUGCCGCGGAUCUCAUGAGUCAGACGUGGCUCUGACAGUAUCUCAACCCAUCUCUUCACAAACCUGUCUUGCCUGUCACCCACCCAUAAAAGUAAGCAUUAGGAUUCUAGUGAGUUUCAGUGAGAGAGUUACUUAUGCAAAGAGAGAGAAUGAGACUUCUUCUUUUACCUGUCUGGUGCCCAUGAUCUGUAUCUGUCUCCUGGCUGCUUGAAGUUGUUCUCCUUCUUGAUGAUGCACUGCAACACAUUGACAAUGAAGAAUUGUUUUAGUACACAAAAUUCAAAUGAAGUGAAAUAUAAGGUUUUGAUGCCUUCAAAUCAUAUACCUUUGUUCUGAUUCCAGUGUAUGAUUUGUUAGGGAUAGGAGCUUUCUCUGCGCAGCGGACAGGAUCAAACUUUGAGGGAUAGUAAUUGAUCUGUAAAAGCAAACACCACAUUAAGAUUUUGAUACCAAAUUAAGAAAAACAAGCAAGCAUAGCUCAAAUGGUACUAUUUAGACUUACCUCCUCAUCUCUGUGCAUGAAGUUCAUAAACCCUUCAUGGUGAUUGUUGUGGUGAGCACAUUUGGGAGCAUUAACCGGCAGCUGCAGAUAGUUGGGUCCAAGACGAUGUCUCUGAGUGUCACCAUACGCAAAGAUCCUACACUGGAGCAGCUUAUCAUCCGAGUAGUAAAUCCCAGGAACCACAAGACCAGGGUUGAAAGCGAGCUGCUCAGUCUCAUUAAAGAAGUUAUCAAUAGUCCUGUUCAGAACCAACCGACCAACAGGCUGCAGAGGCAAGAUAUCCUCAGGCCAGAUCUUGGUCACAUCGAGCGGGUCGAAGUCAAACUUAUCCUCAUCCGCAGGAUCCAUGGUCUGAAUAAAAAGCUUCCACUCAGGGUAGUUACCAGACGCAAUAGCAUCGUGGAGAUCCUUAGUCGCGUGGCUGUGGUUGGCUCCUCCAACUACCUUAGCCUCUUCAUCGGUGAGAUUCUUGAUCCCACAAGUUGGUUUCCAGUGGAACUUCACGAAGAGAACCUUUCCGGAUUUGGAGACAAGAGUGUAGGUGUGGACACCGAAACCUUCCAUGUGCCUGUAGUCUUGUGGGAUACCGACGUCAUCAAACAUCCAGCACCAUGUGAGGAGACUCUCUGGUAAGUGGGACAUGUAGUCCAGUAUCCUCCAGUACUCCUGGAUGUUUGUUUUCGGGUUCGGCUUCAGGGCGUGGACGACGUCCGGGAACUGAAUCCCGUCGCGGAUGAAGAACACCGGAGUGUUGUUUCCAACAAGAUCGAAGUUUCCCUGAAGUGCAUUAGCAAUACACAAACAUGAGUACUUUGAUUCUAAAGAAGAUAGAGGACAUCUCAAAAAUGGAAAUUAGUAAUAUAUUUUUUUGUUCAUAUAACCAAAUUUAAAAUCGGUCCAUCAGCAAAUUAGUUAUUAUAUAAUCUUUUAUUAUAUAUACACAUUCUAAGAAUCCAUAGACUAAUCAACUAUUAGCAAAAUGAUUUUUUUUUAAAACGAUUAUUUUUAAUGGGUCUAAGAGCGGGAUCUUAAGGUGGAGUUCUUAGUGGAAUAUAAGAACCAGUCUCUUAACUUUUAACUAAAAAAAGCUAAGAAGCCUAGCAUAAGAACCCCCAAUAAUCAUGUUCUAAGCAUCCGCGUAGACAUUAAUCCUUGUGGCCUAGUGAUUUCUUGAACAUUAAUUGUUUAUACCUCUCUGGUGUAAAACUUGACGGCGAAGCCACGGAUGUCUCUCAUGGUUUCAGGGCUGGCACGCUCGUGAACGACGGUGGAGAAACGGACGAUGACGGGAGUCUGAACACCAGGGGCUCUGAGGAAAUCGGCACAAGUGAGGUUUGAAAUGUCAUGGGUGACCUCAAAGAAGCCCUUAGCACUGAUUCCUCUGGCAUGAACCACUCUCUCAGGAAUCCUCUCCCUGGUGAAGUUAGCAACCUUCUCGAUCAGAUGGUAGUCCUCAAGAAGAACCGGACCUGCCCAGAACAAAAAGUAACAAAAUUUUAGAAAACCAAUCACACUCCAAUACACAAGAUCCGAGAUUUGAACUAUUUCUCUCCUAACGAAUAUACCUCUUUCUCCGAUGGUGAGGGAGGAGAUGUUGUUGGAGACCGGAGCACCGCCGUUUGUGGUGUAGAACGGAGCGUUGUACGCGCUCGACGGACGGUACUGCAAGAACCGUAAUUCAAUCGAUUAUCAGAUAUAUCCCCAGAUCAAGCAACAAUCGUAUCGAUUCAAUUUUUUUUUACCCUAAUUUCAGUUGUUGGAAGAAGGAAGAUAUCACUUUCUAUUUUACCCGCGUCUUUCUUAUUCACUCACAAUCCGAAAUUUUAAAACUAAACCCGGUUUUACCGGGCCGGAUCCGGGCCGUCGGUGGACAAAGAAGGCUUUUCAUUUUGGGUGGUAACAUGUCGGAUUAUUCGAUUAUUGCUUUACUUUCUCGUAUAUUCAUUAGUCUUGUUUGAUGGAUCUACCACUUUUAACAGUUCGAAUAAUAAAUCCAUACGUUUUUUUUAAGAAAUUCCAACGAUUAUCCUCAUAUACAUACACCAUGCUACCAUGGUAUGUUAAAAAAUAAUUUAUAAGUGAUAUGUGCAUUGUUUCAUACGAAUAAAUACUUCACUUAAAUUUGUUUUAUUGACGACACUCUGAUUAAUCAUAUGUUUAUAUCUUAUCUGAUCAGAUUAUUUAUAUUAUGAUUAAUUUAUUGGGUAGAUUUGAUUAAUCAGGUGCGUAGAUCUGAGAAAUCUAUUUAACAAAAUUUACAAAAACACAUGCAUGUUUUUAAUAAAAACACACAAACAACAAAAUAAGGUCUCUCGUAUCAGGGAAAAAACAAACAAACCACAUGUGACGUUUUUAACGCAUGCACUGGUUUAUAGAUCAAACGAGUCGUUUUAAAAGUAUGCCAUCUUAGAUAGCCAACCCAAAAAUCAACAUAACCACCUUAUAGCUCAAACGAUCAUAGAACAUAAAUUAAUUUUGGAAGAAAAAGCAUGUAUUUAACACUAAGACUCAAGAGCAACUUUCAUUUUUCAUUAAAAAGAGUUGGAAAAAUGAUCAUAAUGAAACAUGGGAUCAUAGUGAAACAUAAUUGACUUAAGACACACACACACACAAAAAAAGUGGAGAAGAACAAGAAGAUACCUUGUAAGGAUCCAUGGUGAUGAAGAAGCUUUGAUGAUCCCAAAAUAUAACGUUUGAGGUUUUGGUAUAGUGAGAGUGAUGAGAUCUUAUAUAUGUGUAAUGUAUAUAUAGUGAAUCGCGUGUGCUACGUUAGGUAAUGGCGGCCCCCAAAUGGAGGGGUACGUUUGUCUUUCCAUGAUCAAUUUAUCGAUACAGUAAAAAUUAGAGCUAGAAAUUUUAAUCAUUGUCUGCGGGCCCGUCCCGUUUGACCCGCCGCAGGGCGGAUGCAGAUCGAACCAUUUGAAAAUUUUAAAUCGCGGGUGCGGGUACGGGUCGAGAUUAUUUUGACCAGGGCAGGUGCGGGUCAGCCAAAUUUGAAUCGCGGGUACCCGCAAAUUAAAAAAAAAAAAAAAUUUGAAAAAAGAAACAUUUCUGGUAAAAUAUAUAAAAACAAUAAAUAUUUAUAUAAUUUUAAUUAUAAAUAUAUUUUUAAUAGUAUUUUUUAAAAAUAAAUAUUAUAUAAAUAAAAAAUAAUUAUUUUUAAUUAAAAUAAUUAUUAUAUAAUUAGAAAAUAAUCAUUUUUAAUUAAAAUAACUAUUUUUAAUAUAAUUAAUAUUACCCGCGGGUUUGGCGGGGUAAUCGCGGGGUUUGGCNNNNNNNNNNNNNNNNNNNNNNNNNNNNNNNNNNNNNNNNNNNNNNNNNNNNNNNNNNNNNNNNNNNNNNNNNNNNNNNNNNNNNNNNNNNNNNNNNNNNNNNNNNNNNNNNNNNNNNNNNNNNNNNNNNNNNNNNNNNNNNNNNNNNNNNNNNNNNNNNNNNNNNNNNNNNNNNNNNNNNNNNNNNNNNNNNNNNNNNNNNNNNNNNNNNNNNNNNNNNNNNNNNNNNNNNNNNNNNNNNNNNNNNNNNNNNNNNNNNNNNNNNNNNNNNNNNNNNNNNNNNNNNNNNNNNNNNNNNNNNNNNNNNNNNNNNNNNNNNNNNNNNNNNNNNNNNNNNNNNNNNNNNNNNNNNNNNNNNNNNNNNNNNNNNNNNNNNNNNNNNNNNNNNNNNNNNNNNNNNNNNNNNNNNNNNNNNNNNNNNNNNNNNNNNNNNNNNNNNNNNNNNNNNNNNNNNNNNNNNNNNNNNNNNNNNNNNNNNNNNNNNNNNNNNNNNNNNUGCACCAAUAAGAAUUGAUGUUCAAGAGGGACACAAUCAAGUUGCUACAGAGUCUAGACAACGUUUGAAACGUGGUAGACCAAUAGGUUCCAAAGAUAAGAACCCUCGGAAAACAAAGAAAGGUGCAUCCGAGGCCGAAACCCUAGACACGGCCGCGGCCGAUCCUGAAACCCUAGAGAUGGCCGUGACCGAACCUAAGGCCUUAGACAGGGCCGAGGAACCUAAUGUGCCUAAUACUGAUGCUUGGGACGCUAAGCUUCAUGGUACUGAUGGUCCUGAUAAUAAUGAGAUCUCAAUAAAUUAUGUCUUGUCUGGGAUACAAUAGAACAGAAAGAAUGUCGACAUUGUUGAUAUAUUUGCAUAUAAGGUAGCACUUGAACUUAUGGAUUUAAACGAGGAUCAUGAACCCACGUCUAUUUAUGAGUGCACUCAACGAUCAGAUUGGAUCAAAUGGAAAGAAGCUAUAAACGUGGAGUUAAAUUCUUUAAAGAAAAGAGGUGUCUUCGGUCCUAUAAUCCGGACACCCUAUGAUGUCAAACCAGUUGGAUACAAAUUGGUCUUUGUGAGGAAAAGAAACGAACAUGGUGAAGUAGUGAGAUAUAAAGCAUGGCUUGUUGCACAAGGAUUCUCACAGAGACCAGAAAUAGACUAUGAGGAGACAUACUCCCCUGUGGUGGAUGCUACUACUUUUAGAUUCCUGAUAAGUCUGGCUAUAAGAGAAAACUUAGACUUGCGGUUAAUGGAUGUAGUAACUGCAUACUUAUAUGGUUCACUGGAUAAUGAGAUAUAUAUGAAAGUACCAGAGGGGUAUUGAAUUGAAAAACAAAGCAAGUUCUCGAGAACAAUAUUGUAUAAAGUUGAACAAAUCACUUUAUGAAUUGAAACAAUCAGGUCGAAUGUGGUACAAUAGACUAAGUGAGUACCUAGUGAAAGAGGGCUAUAAGAAUGACCUCUAUGUUUUUUUAUAAAGAAAUUCGACAAUAAAGGAUUUGUGAUCAUAGCAGUGUAUGUUGAUGAUUUGAAUAUCCUAGGAACCUCUGGAGAGAUUUCCCAAACAGUUGAAUAUCUUAAGAAAGAAUUUGAGAUGAAAGAUCUUGGAAAAACAAAGUUCUGUUUGGGAUUACAGCUUGUGUACAUUAGAGAUGGAAUCCUUGUGCAUCAAAUGACAUAUACAGAGAAAGUACUCAAAAGAUUCAAUAUGGCCGAGUCUCACUCAUUGUCUAGCCCCAUGGUCGUGAGGUCUCUCGGACUGGACACAGAUCCGUUCGGCCCUAAGAAUGACGAUGAAGAUGUCCUUGGUCCCGAAGUGCCAUAUCUCAGUGCCAUUGGAGCUUUGAUGCAUCUGACUAGUCACACACGGCCAGACAUAUGCUUUGCAGUGAACCUACUAUCUAGGUUUAGCUCUUGUCCGACCUAAAGGCACUAGAAUGAGAUUAAACAUAUACUUCGUUACCUGCAAGGAACGAAAGACUUGUGUUUAUUUUAUACUAACCAAAACAAAGAAGGUUUAGUUGGUUUUGCUAAUGCAGGUUAUCUUUCGUAUCCACACAAUGCUCAAUCACAGACAUGCUAUGUGUUCACACAUGGUGGAACGGCCAUAUCAUGGCGUUCCAUGAAACAGACGAUCACGGCCACAUCUUCAAACCAUUCGGAGAUCUUAGCUAUUCAUGAAGCCAGCCGCGAGUGUGUUUGGUUGAGGUCCAUGACCCAACAUGUUCGAGUUGAUUGUGGGAUGUCCGAAGGUAAGGAUGCACCAACCGUGAUGUAUGAAGACAAUGCAGCAUGCAUUGUUCAGCUCAAGGACGGUUACAUCAAAGGAGAUAGGACGAAGCACAUCCCACCCAAGUUCUUCUUCACGUAUGAACUUCAGAAAGCCGGCGAGGUUCAAGUGGUCCAAAUGCGUUCCAGUGACAACUCAGCUGAUCUAUUUACCAAGUCACUUCCUACCUCGACGUUCAGGAAGCUCAUGUAUCAGAUAGGUAUACGUAGACUGAAAGACCUUCAGUGAUGUUCAUAACAGGGGGAAUAAUACGUGUUGUACUCUUUUUUCUCCACCAUGAUUUUGUCCCAUUGGGUUUUCCUGGUAAGAUUUUAAUGAGGCAAUAUCCAAAGCGUAUUACGAACUCUGUAUGGUUAUGACAUCCAAGGAAGAGUUUUAUAAAUCAUAUUGUGGAUGUUCAUAACCGGUCCGGUCCAUAACCGGUUCAUACCGUUAGAGAGAGAGAGACGGCUAGAGAGAGAGUUGGCCACAUUUGGUUUUUCUUUUUCUUUAUUGGUUUAUGAUUUGUACUAUUUUUUUUUCUAGUCUUUCAAUUAUUCUAUGACGGUGUAAUUCUCUAUAUAUAAAUGGUUCAUUAUGUUUAAAGAUUAAUAAGAAUAUAGAGAUUUUAUUCUCCAAGUUUCACGACAAAAAACCUUUUCUUUAAUCAUUGAUCGUGCGUCUGACAUUAGACCACAAUAAAAUUACAACUAUAAGCAGCUCACGUCAUAGAUGCAAAUCUGGAGGAAAUAAUAAGCACACUUAAAAUUUAAUCCAGAGCAAAAUAUAAUAACAAAUAAAUACCAUUUCGAGUAGAACUAGUUAUGGAUUAUAUAUAUCACGUUAUAAGCUUACAUAGCUUUUUAUUAUUUGCCUUAGAAAAUAUUCGUUGACAUUGUGAAUAGAAAGAUUACAACAUGUACUAGAAGUACCCUUCCUUAAACAUUUCAUUGUCACGGUUUAUUUAAAUGAACUAUUACCAAAGAGCUUACAUAGAAACCAAACCACAAUAAAAGAUCACUUAGUCUUUCGAGAUGAUACCAUUCAGUACUUAGGCCUCACGUUAAGACGGGAAGCUAGUUUCUGUCCCAGCGAUUUGUCUGCCUGAGUCCAGUAAGAUAUCCAAAUGCUGCGAAUCUCGUGCGUCACGCGAGGCUCCGCAAGUGCUUCAACAAAACGCUUCACGAAACGCUCUUGCCUUUUACCCGGAAAGAAAAAAAAACAAUUAGAAUUUUAUGAAAUGUGUGAAGCUUUGUGGAUUUUGCAAUGAGUUUUGUAGUGUCUACCUGUCUGCGUCCCAGGACCUGUAUCGUUCCCCUGGCUGCUGAAAGUUGUUCUCCUUCUCAAUCAUGCACUGUCGUAUACAGAAGAUAGUAUAAAAAACAUUUUAAUCUCACAAUGUUAAAAGGAUUUGUGUCAAGGCAUGGAGCGGAAUAUGACCUUCUCACGAUUUCCAGAGCAGAAAACAGGAGUUGUUGGGUAUUUGUCAGCAUGGCGAACCGGAUUCAACCUUGAAGGGAAGUAAUUAACCUGGAAAGCAACUCAACCGGUUCAUAUAAUCAAACUAUAAAAAAUAAGAUUGUGAAUAAGCGUUUGAAUGAGCUGAUUACCUCCUCAUCUCGGUGCAUGAAGUUCAUGAAACCUUCAUGGUGAUUGUUGUGGUGAGCACAUUUUGGAGCAUUAACCGGCAGCUGCAGAUAGUUUGGUCCAAGACGGUGUCUCUGACUAUCAGCGUAGGAGAAGAUCCUGGUCUGGAGCAGCUUAUCAUCUGAGUAAUGGACGCCAGGAACGACAAUAGCAGGGCAGAAAGCAAUCUGCUCAUUCUCGUUAAAGAAGUUGUCGAUGUUUUUGUUCAGCACCAAGCGGCCAACAGGCUGCAGAGGCAAGAUAUCUUCAGGCCAGAUCUUGGUGACAUCAAGAGGGUCGAAGUCAAACUUGUCUUCAUGAGCAGGAUCCAUCACUUGAACGAAGAGAUUCCACUCUGGAUAGUUCCCAGAAGCGAUUGAGUCAUAGAGAUCCUUGGUUGCAUGGCUGUGGUUGGAUCCUCCGACCUUGAUAGCUUCCUCAUCAAGGAGGCAUUUAACCCCACAAGACGGUUUCCAGUGGAACUUGACGUAGUGAGCUUUUCCGGCUUUGUUGAUAAGCAUGUAGGUGUUGACACCAAAGCCAUUCAUGUGUCUGUAGUCCUGUGGGAUACCGAGAUCGUCGAAGAGGAACGAAAACAUGUGAAGACUCUCAGGGUGAUGUGAGAAGAAGUCCAGUAUCCUCCAGUUCUCCUGAAUGUGGGAUUUGG